GGUGGAGGCGUCAGACAAGGCUACCGUGAUCAUCCCACUGAAAAGUAGCCGCCACGGUCAUCCCACUGAAGCAUAGCUGCGAUGGUCAUCCCACUGAAGCAUAGCUGCGAUGGUCAUCCCACUGAAAUGUAUCAUCAUCCCACUGAAAUGUAUCCUCGUCCCCCUGAAUAUGUUUCUGCUGACGUGAUAGAAUCUCACUUCCAAAUUGUGUUUUCUUCUGACUGCCGCGGGUCUUGUUCAUUUUGAGGACUGUUUCAGAGGAUAUGUGCGUGCAUCUGUUCUUUUAUCUUCCUUCGGGUAAUUUAGUGUAGAUUUGGUGGCUGUUUCUUGCGUAGGUUUGGAGGACUCCUUUAUCUGUGCUCAGAAGUCAAUUUCCUUUAAAUUUCUUG
This 389-nucleotide long non-coding RNA is filed under the name Bos taurus (domestic cattle). RNAcentral describes it as "long non-coding RNA NONBTAT027075". Lineage: Eukaryota; Metazoa; Chordata; Mammalia; Artiodactyla; Bovidae. The record is from RNAcentral.